This is a long non-coding RNA of Cercocebus atys (sooty mangabey), 666 nucleotides long. RefSeq lists it as uncharacterized. The record is from RefSeq and is a predicted model, not a curated record. NCBI's taxonomy places the organism in Eukaryota, Metazoa, Chordata, Mammalia, Primates, Cercopithecidae. The transcript has 3 exons.
GCCAGCAGGCUCCGAAGCCCUCAUGGGAGCCGGGAGUUCCAUGGCGCAGGCCCCCCGCUGCUGCCCCAAGAAACGCUUGAGUUUGAGAACUCAGGGAACACGAAGAGCCCCCACUGCGAUGGUGAUGGCCCUGGAUUGGGUGGUGCUAAGGAAAGGGCAGCACACCCUCGAGGGCGGGAAGUGAAUGGGGUGACAAAAGAGAGGGAGAAUGGAUAAAUCGCAUUCCACUCAACCGCCUCAGUCUGAAGAUGACAUACAUAAUUUCUGCCUACAUCCCACUGCUUCCCUUGCUUUCUUUUGGAUUACUUGCUCUUGGGAAAGCCAGUUGCCAUAUUGUGAGAACACUCAAGAAGCCCUGCAGAGAGGGCCACAUGAUGAGGAAAUGAGGAAUUCUUCCAACAGCCAGCACCGACUUGCCAGCCACGUGAGUGCACCAUCUUGGAAUCAAAUCUUCCACCUCUAAUUAGGCCUUCAGAUGGCUGCAGCCCUAGAUGACUUUUGACUACAGCUUCUUGAGACAUCCUGAACCAGAACCACUCAGUUAAGCUGCUCCCAAUUUCCUGAUCCAUAGAAAUGAUGUAAGAAAAUAAAUGUUUAUCGUUGUUUUAAGCCACUAAAUUCAGAAGGAAUUUAUUCCAUAGGAACAGCUAAAAUAAACACAGUAUA